AGCAGAGUGGCUCAGUGGAAAGAGCACAGGCUUGGGGGUCAGAGGCCAUGGGUUCUAAUCCCAGCUCACCUG
Molecule: transfer RNA, 72 nt
Filed under: Ornithorhynchus anatinus (platypus)
Lineage: Eukaryota; Metazoa; Chordata; Mammalia; Monotremata; Ornithorhynchidae
Rfam family: tRNA
About the family: Transfer RNA (tRNA) molecules are approximately 80 nucleotides in length. Their secondary structure includes four short double-helical elements and three loops (D, anti-codon, and T loops).
Source: Rfam by way of RNAcentral